Molecule: unclassified non-coding RNA, 352 nt
Filed under: uncultured fungus
Lineage: Eukaryota; Fungi
Description: partial contains 5.8S ribosomal RNA and internal transcribed spacer 2
Rfam family: 5.8S ribosomal RNA (bases 1-133)
Source: RNAcentral
UGGCUCUCGCAUCGAUGAAGAACGCAGCGAAAUGCGAUAAGUAAUGUGAAUUGCAGAAUUCAGUGAAUCAUCGAAUCUUUGAACGCACCUUGCACUCCUUGGUAUUCCGAGGAGUAUGCCUGUUUGAGUGUCAUGAAAUUAUCAACUUCAUAGUUUUAUUACUGUGAGGCUUGGACUUGGAAGUUGCUGGCUCUGCUCGGCUCUUCUUAAAUACAUUAGCUGCUUGUCCGUGGGUUGGCUCAGAGUGUGAUAAUUAUCUGCACUUGGUGGCUGCCUGCAAGGAUGUGGCUUCUAAUCGUCUUCGGACAAUUUCUUAAGAUCUGACCUCAAAUCAGGUAGGACUACCCGCUGA